UCUUGGUCUCUAUGAAGUCUCCUGUGGUC
RNAcentral lists this non-coding RNA (29 nucleotides) under Mus musculus (house mouse). The record is from RNAcentral. Lineage: Eukaryota; Metazoa; Chordata; Mammalia; Rodentia; Muridae.